RNAcentral lists this non-coding RNA (27 nucleotides) under Homo sapiens (human). The record is from RNAcentral. Lineage: Eukaryota; Metazoa; Chordata; Mammalia; Primates; Hominidae.
UGCAGUGUCUCUGGGUUGAUAAUACUG